RNAcentral lists this ribosomal RNA (497 nucleotides) under uncultured bacterium. RNAcentral's name for it is "partial 16S ribosomal RNA". It matches the Rfam family "Bacterial small subunit ribosomal RNA", at positions 28 to 507 of the family's 1533-position model. The record is from RNAcentral.
GAUGAACGCUGGCGGCGUGCCUAAUACAUGCCAGUCGAGCGAACAGACGAGGAGCUUGCUCCUCUGACGUUAGCGGCGGACGGGUGAGUAACACGUGGAUAACCUACCUAUAAGACUGGGAUAACUUCGGGAAACCGGAGCUAAUACCGGAUAAUAUAUUGAACCGCAUGGUUUAAUAGUGAAAGACGGUUUUGCUGUCACUUAUAGAUGGAUCCGCGCCGCAUUAGCUAGUUGGUAAGGUAACGGCUUACCAAGGCAACGAUGCGUAGCCGACCUGAGAGGGUGAUCGGCCACACUGGAACUGAGACACGGUCCAGACUCCUACGGGAGGCAGCAGUAGGGAAUCUUCCGCAAUGGGCGAAAGCCUGACGGAGCAACGCCGCGUGAGUGAUGAAGGUCUUCGGAUCGUAAAACUCUGUUAUUAGGGAAGAACAAAUGUGUAAGUAACUAUGCACGUCUUGACGGUACCUAAUCAGAAAGCCACGGCUAACUACGUG